AACGAACGCUGGCGGCAUGCCUAACACAUGCAAGUCGAACGAGAUCUUCGGAUCUAGUGGCGCACGGGUGCGUAACGCGUGGGAAUCUACCCUUGGGUUCGGAAUAACAGUUAGAAAUGACUGCUAAUACCGGAUGAUGACGUAAGUCCAAAGAUUUAUCGCCCAAGGAUGAGCCCGCGUAAGAUUAGCUUGUUGGUGGGGUAAAGGCCUACCAAGGCUACGAUCUUUAGCUGGUCUGAGAGGAUGAUCAGCCACACUGGGACUGAGACACGGCCCAGACUCCUACGGGAGGCAGCAGUGGGGAAUAUUGGACAAUGGGCGAAAGCCUGAUCCAGCAAUGCCGCGUGAGUGACGAAGGCCUUAGGGUUGUAAAGCUCUUUUACCCGGGAUGAUAAUGACAGUACCGGGAGAAUAAGCUCCGGCUAACUCCGUGCCAGCAGCCGCGGUAAUACGGAGGGAGCUAGCGUUGUU
Molecule: ribosomal RNA, 471 nt
Filed under: uncultured bacterium
Lineage: Bacteria
Description: bacterial SSU rRNA
Rfam family: Bacterial small subunit ribosomal RNA
Source: RNAcentral